Oncorhynchus tshawytscha (Chinook salmon) is the source of this 2248-nucleotide long non-coding RNA. The record is from Ensembl. NCBI's taxonomy places the organism in Eukaryota, Metazoa, Chordata, Actinopteri, Salmoniformes, Salmonidae.
GGCACAUUUAUUGCUUACUUGACGUUGCUUCACAUUACAAGCCACAAGAGAGAGAUGCUUUCCUCAUGAACACCACAUCUCCCCUUUUCAGAGAACAAAUGGUAGACUGCCUUUGUCGCAACAGACCUCAAGGGAUUAUUCUGCCCUUGUGUUGAUCACAUCUUUUGGACUGGCUGGAGGAAUGACCACCAAGGAGACUGUGUGGAGAACACUAACACAACUCCUGACAAAUGCCAUGAACUGGAGAGGGGCCAAUGGGAAGGAGGCAUUCGAACCACUUGCCCUGGUGGCACUGUUUUUGUCACAAGGUGCCAACAUCAAUGCUCAGAUAGAGGAGACAGUAAUCAGUGAUGGUCUAACAUGUGUUGAGUCAUACUGCUUUUUUUAAUAACUUUGCAUGGGUGAGUUGGAUUAAUGGAUGGUCCAUUGUGUGUCUACAACGGUCUCCACUCUGACAGGAAAAGACAUGCACUGCUGUGAAGGAUCCUGCCUGACUCAAAUGCUUCAAAUGGCACAGUUACUGGCACAGGCUGUCUGUUUGACAGGCAUUUAUCAAAAGGAAACCACCAGAACACUAUCCCUAAAAACAGUGAAUAAAGUGAUUGUUUGAUUGAACCCGUUUUAUCAUAGACUAAUUACAUGUAGACUACAUAUUUUGUUACCCUUUCCUGAUUUAAAAAAGGAGGCUGCGAAUUUUUGCAGCUUUUUGUUAAAAAUCGCGCAAAAUUUCAAUGUCCUCCUACUCAUGCCAGGAAUAUAGUAUAUGCAUAUGAUUAGUAUGUGUGGAUAGGAAACACUCUGAAGUUUAUAAAACUGGUUGAAUCAUGUCUGUGACUAUAACAGAACGUGUUUAGCAGGCAAAAUCCCAAGGAAAACUGUUCAAAAAAAAAAAAAAAAAAAAAAAAUAUCCCUCCGCCAGUCUCUGUAUUGUCUAUGGCAAGGGAAAAUAGAUAGCGUCCAGUUUACAAUGCCUACAGCUUCCACACGAUGUCACCAGUACUGGCAUUUAGAUUGAAGUUAAUCCUUGGUGAAAUGAGGAAUAGGCACUUCCUGUCUUCGGGUACACCGGAGGAAGUUAUGAAAGACAGAAUGUGGACCAUGAUUUCAAAAUGUGCUGCUAUUGAAUACAGAUCGCCCCGUGAUCAAUUUGAUCGAUUAUUAACGUUUACUAAUACCUAAAGUUGGAUUACAAAAGUAGUUUGAAGUGUUUUGUCAAAGUUUAUAGGCAACUUUUUUAAUUUUAAAAAAUGACGUUGCGUUUUGGAACGGUGCUUUUUCAUGGAUCAGACGGGCUUCAUAAAUGGACAUUUAGGGUAUACAUGGACGGAUUUAAUCGAAAAAAAGACCCAAUUGUGAUGUUUAUGGGACAUAUAGGAGUGCCAACAAAGAAGCUCGUCAAAAGUAAUGAAUGUUUUAUAUUUUAUUUCUGCGUUUUGUGUAGCGCCGGCUACGCUAAUUAUUCUGUUUACGUCCCCUUUGGGUAUUUAUUUAAUUGAGUACCCUGCAUGUGUGUUUUAAUGAAAGUUUGAGUUGUAUCGAGUACUAUUAGUUGUCACUCUGAAAUUUCCUCUGAUUUCCGCUGAUGUUGAUCCCUGUAUAGGGCUGCAGCCCUAAGAGGUUCAUAAAUCCUGACUGCUAGCUCUAGUUUAGACUUGUCUGGCACAAACACUUGUAGCUGAAUGCAUUGCUAAUACCGCCAUUCCCAUCCUGUUUCAUUUUAUGUAUCUCAUUAAUAAUUUACAUAAACGUCUGUGUGUGCUGCAUUGUGGUAUUUUUUUCCUGUGUUGACAGUUGUAAUGGUCAAAAUAAUAAGCAUUAGAAAUGUAUUUAUACAUUUUCUUUCUUUGAUUUUGUUCUAGGUGCCAGUUCCCACAUCAUAAGUUGUGUACUCUGCAGUUUGUACCCUUUAUAUAAUAUUACUUGUUGAUGAAAAGGAAAUUAUAGGAUGUAAAACAAGGAUCAUCAACUAGCUGCGCGACUAUUUUUUAUUGAAUGGAUGGUCAGAACAUAAUAAAAAUAUUUUUAGAAUGCAUAUUGCCCGCAAGAAGCCAAAACAGAUAUAUUUGACUAAAACAUAACAUUUUCAAACCUUGAUUACAUUGCCCUGUGAAGGGUGCUGUCUUUCGGAUGGGACGUUAAAACGAGUGUCCUGACUCUGUGGAGAUGGUUGUCCUUCUGGAAGGUUCUCCCAUCUUGGCAGCACUCCACCAAUAAGGCCUUUGUGAUAGAGUGGCCAGACAGAAGCCAC